RNAcentral lists this long non-coding RNA (1399 nucleotides) under Mytilus galloprovincialis (Mediterranean mussel). The record is from RNAcentral. Lineage: Eukaryota; Metazoa; Mollusca; Bivalvia; Mytilida; Mytilidae.
GGUAAAGCCUCUGGUCCUGAUAAAUAGUAUAUGAAGUCAUUAAAUACAGUAGUCCAGUUACAUUAAAAUCUUAUGUUAAACUUUUUAAUCUUAUUUUAAAAACUGGUCAUUAUCCCAAACACUGGAAUUCAUCUUUUAUUAUAUUAAUAUUAAAAUCUGGAGAUAAAUGCCAUCCUGGCAACUACAGAGGUAUUUCUUUAAUCAACUGUCUGUAUAAAAUAUUUAGUAGUGUUCUGAAUAAUAGACUAAAAAUAUUUAUGAUAAAUAAAUUUUCUGCCUCUCAGUUUGAUUUCAGGGAAAACCAUAGGAUAUCCGACAGUUUGUUUAUAUUGAAAACUUUGAUCAAUGAAUAUCUGCAUAAAAAUAAUAAAAAUAUAUAUGCAUGUUUUUGUGGACUUAAAAGGAGCAUUUGACUCUGUUUGGAGAGAUUGUCUUGUGUUCAAAUUGGCUAAAUUAGGGGUUGGCAAAAAUUUAUACCAAGUAAUAAAAAAACAGUUUUCAGGCACAGAAUCUUCACUUAAAUUUGAUAAUGCCUCAACUCCAUUUUUUAAUACGACUGCAAAUUUUUUUUUCGUAGGAUAAUACAAUCAUGUCGUCUGCGUCGUCGUCCAAAGAUGCAUUUAGUGUCAGGACAAUAACUUUAGUUUUAGUGAAUGGAUCUCUAUAAAUUUUUACAAGAAGGUUCAAUACCACUAAAGGAGGGUUGGGAUUGAUUUUGGGGGUUAUGGUCCCAAUAGUUUAGGAAUUAGGGGCCAAAAAUAAGCAUUUUUGUAGUUUUCAAACAAUAACUUAUGUUUAAGUGUAUGAAUCUCUCUGAAAUUAUACCACAAGUUUUCAUACCGUGAAGGGAUGAUUAGUAUUGACUUUGGGGGGUUAUGGCUUGAAAUGUUUUGGAAUUAGGGGCAAAAAAAGGGGAAAAACUAGGUUUUAUCUGGUCAAUGGACAUUUAAGACAAUUUAAAAGCAGUGAAAGAGAGGUAAUUCAAAAACAUUUAUCAUACAAUGUUUGGUAUGAUUGGAUUCACCUCCCUUACACUUCUUGUAAAUUAUAUAUAAAGAAAUAUCAGGAUUUGGACUAAUUGCAAAAAAGGGGUAGUAGUUUUCACUUUAAUUUUUUUUAAAUUUUAUUGUUUGAAGAAGAAACCUUUAAUUGCACAAUAUUGCACAAUAUAUUUAUAAGAUCUUGACAUUUGUUUUGUGUCAGAAACACAUAUUAUGUCAAAAAUUUUAUCAGAAUCAAAAUUCAGAGCUGUAUCAAGCUUCAAUGUUGUGUCCAUACUUACCCCAACCUCUGCGGUCGUAUAAAGCUGCAUGCACCUUGCGGAGCACCUGGUUUAAAAACAGAGAGAAUGCCAAGGCGACACAAUCAGUCCUACAUUGUUUAACAUUGUUUAACAUUU